AAAGACAAGCAAAGCUUUUAAGAUAAAGGCGAAGUAUUUUUGUCUUUAGGCGAGGCGAAUUUUAGUGAAGCAAGGGAGUUAUCGUUUGGAUAAUGACCGAAGCUGAGCGAAAAUUCAACGAAGCAUAAAGCAAAAAGACAAGCCCAAGAAAAGUAUAAAUAAUUAAGUGCAAGUGGUAGGAGAGCGUUGCAUUCAGCGUCGAAGGUGUACCGGUAAGGAGCGCUGGAGCGAAUGCAAGUGAGCAUGCAGGCAUGAGUAGCGAUAAUUGGGGUGAGAAUCCCCAACGCCGUAAACCCAAGGUUUCCUACGCGAUGCUCGUCAUCGUAGGGUUAGCCGGGUCCUAAGCAAAGUCCGAAAGGGGUAUGCGAUGGAAAAUUGGUUAAUAUUCCAAUGCCAACUAUAAUGUGCGAUGGAAGGACGCUUAGAGUUAGAGGAGCCAGCGGAUGGUAGUGCUGGUCGAAAGGUGUAGGUUAAGAUCCAGGCAAAUCCGGAUCUUUUUAAGCCCAGACCCCAUAGGCACACAAAGUUCUUCGGAACAGCGUGUGAAUCCUUGAUACUGUCGAGCCAAGAAAAGUUUCUAAGUUUAGUUAUAGUUGCCCGUACCGUAAACCGACACAGGUGGGUGGGAUGAGUAUUCUAAGGCGCGUGGAAGAACUCUCUUCAAGGAACUCUGCAAAAUAGCACCGUAUCUUCGGUAUAAGGUGUGCCUAGCUUCGUUAAGAAUUUACUUCGUAAGCGAAGAAGGUUACAACAAAGAGUCCCUCCCGACUGUUUACCAAAAACACAGCACUCUGCUAACUCGUAAGAGGAUGUAUAGGGUGUGACGCCUGCCCGGUGCUCGAAGGUUAAUUGAUGACGUUAGCUCUGCGAAGCGUUUGAUCGAAGCCCGAGUAAACGGCGGCCGUAACUAUAACGGUCCUAAGGUAGCGAAAUUCCUUGUCGAUUAAAUAUCGACCUGCAUGAAUGGCGUAACGAGAUGGGAGCUGUCUCGAAGAGGGAUCCAGUGAAAUUGUAGUGGAGGUGAAAAUUCCUCCUACCCGCGGCAAGACGGAAAGACCCCGUGGACCUUUACUACAGCUUGACACUGCUACUUGGAUAAAGAUGCGCAGGAUAGGUGGGAGGCUUUGAUUCGUAGAUCUCGGUUUACGAUGAGCCAUUGUUGAGAUACCACCCUUCUUUAUUCGGGUAGCUAGCUUGAGUUAUCCUCAAGUAGGACAAUGUCUGGUGGGUAGUUUGACUGGGGCGGUCGCCUCCCAAAAUGUAACGGAGGCUUACAAAGGUUGGCUCAAAGCGGUUGGAAAUCGCUUGUAGAGUAUAAAGGCAAAAGCCAGCUUAACUGCGAGACAUACACGUCGAGCAGAGACGAAAGUCGGUCUUAGUGAUCCGGUGGUUCUGUGUGGAAGGGCCAUCGCUCAAAGGAUAAAA
This 1425-nucleotide ribosomal RNA is filed under the name human oral metagenome. RNAcentral's name for it is "bacterial LSU rRNA". It matches the Rfam family "Bacterial large subunit ribosomal RNA", at positions 1067 to 2461 of the family's 2925-position model. The record is from RNAcentral.